This is a long non-coding RNA of Hyla sarda, 525 nucleotides long. RefSeq lists it as uncharacterized. NCBI's taxonomy places the organism in Eukaryota, Metazoa, Chordata, Amphibia, Anura, Hylidae. The transcript is spliced from 3 exons. The record is from RefSeq and is a predicted model, not a curated record.
AUCAGUGAGGGGCCGGUGCUGGACACUGUGUAGGGACACGGGAAUGCAAAGUCAUACACAUGACUGUGACUGAUGCACUAUCUCCAGGACAUGGAGUAGCAUUUCCGGACCUACAGCAAGACGUUGGAUGAAGGCAUAGCCCCAGAAAUAACACUGGUCCUGUUCAUCAGUGAGGGGCCGGUGCUGGACACUGUGUAGGGACACGGGAAUGCAAAGUCAUGCACAUGACUGUGACUGAUGCACUAUUUCCAGGACAUGGAGUAGCAUUUCGGGACCUACAGCAAGACGUUGGAUGAAGGCACAGGCCUAGGAAUCAUGCACAUACACAGAAACAUUUGCCCAAAUUAUAGAGGUAACCUCCUUUAGUAUGCCCAGAGGAAGGGCCAUACAGUAGCCAUGGAUUCCCUACAGGUUUCCUCCCCUCUGGAGGUUUUUCCUGUCCUGAGUAUUAGUUACUGUACGCUCUUUGUGAGUGAUGGGAGGUUACAAAAAGUCCCCUACACAAACAUUUUAAUAAAUAAUAAA